This 380-nucleotide ribosomal RNA is filed under the name uncultured eukaryote. RNAcentral's name for it is "partial 18S ribosomal RNA". It matches the Rfam family "Eukaryotic small subunit ribosomal RNA", at positions 592 to 976 of the family's 1831-position model. The record is from RNAcentral.
CAAUAGCGUAUAUUAAAGUUGUUGCAGUUAGAACGCUCGUAGUCGGAUUUCGGGGCGGGCCGACCGGUCUGCCGAUGGGUAUGCACUGGUCGGUGCGUCCUUCCUUCCGGAGACCGUCCCUACUCUUAACUGAGCGGGGGCGGGAGACGGGACUUUUACUUUGAAAAAAUCAGAGUGUUUCAAGCAGGCAGCUCGCUCUUGCAUGGAUUAGCAUGGGAUAAUGAAAUAGGACUUUGGUGCUAUUUUGUUGGUUUCGAACACCGAAGUAAUGAUGAGAAGGGACAGUCAGGGGCACUCGUAUUCCGCCGAGAGAGGUGAAAUUCUCAGACCAGCGGAAGACGAACCACUGCGAAAGCAUUUGCCAGGGAUGUUUUCACUGA